AGCGAACGCUGGCGGCAGGCUUAACACAUGCAAGUCGAGCGGGCAUCCUUGUGGUGUCAUCGGCUGACGUUUGAGUAACGCGUGGGAACGUGCCCUUCUUUUCGUACUAACUCUUGGAAACUUGAUCUAAUACCGGAUACGCCCUUUUGGGGAAAGGUUUACUGCCGAAGGAUCGGACCGCUUCUGAUUAGCUAGUUUUUGAGGUUAUGGCUCACCAAUGCGACGAUCAGUAGCUUGUCUGAGAGGCUGAUCAGCCACACUGGGACUGAGACACGGCCCAGAAUCCUACGGGAGGGAGCAGUGGGGAAUAUUGGAAAACGGGGGCAACCCUGAACGAGCCAUGACGCGUGAGUGAUGACGGCCUUAGGGUUGUAAAGCUCUUUUAUCCGGGACGAUAAUGACGGUACCGGAGGAAUAAGCCCCGGCUAACUUCGUG
This 436-nucleotide ribosomal RNA is filed under the name uncultured bacterium. RNAcentral's name for it is "partial 16S ribosomal RNA". It matches the Rfam family "Bacterial small subunit ribosomal RNA", at positions 29 to 507 of the family's 1533-position model. The record is from RNAcentral.